This 809-nucleotide ribosomal RNA is filed under the name uncultured Planctomycetota bacterium. RNAcentral's name for it is "bacterial SSU rRNA". It matches the Rfam family "Bacterial small subunit ribosomal RNA", at positions 58 to 879 of the family's 1533-position model. Lineage: Bacteria; Pseudomonadati; Planctomycetota. The record is from RNAcentral.
CAAGUCGAACGGACUUGAUCUUCGGAUCAAGUUAGUGGCGCAAGGGUGAGUAAGGCGACGGUAACCAACCUUGGAAUUGGGAAUAGCCGCGGGAAACUGCGGGUAAUACCCAGCGAUGCAGCGAACCGGCAUCGGUUUGUUGUCAAAGCUCCGGCGUUCCAAGACGGGCUGUCGUGGUAUUAGGUAGUUGGCGGGGUAACGGCCCACCAAGCCUUCGAUGCCUACCGGGCGUGCGAGCGUGGCCCGGCACACUGGGACUGAGACACUGCCCAGACACCUACGGGUGGCUGCAGUCGAGAAUCUUCGGCAAUGGGCGCAAGCCUGACCGAGCGACGCCGCGUGGAGGAUGAAGGCCUUCGGGUUGUAAACUCCUGUCGAGGGGGAGGAAGGGGAAACCUUGACCGAUCCCUGGAGGAAGCACGGGCUAAGUUCGUGCCAGCAGCCGCGGUAAGACGAACCGUGCGAACGUUAUUCGGAAUCACUGGGCUUAAAGCGCGCGUAGGCGGAUGGGAACGUCGGUCGUUGAAAGCCCCUGGCUCAACCAGGGAACUGGCACCGAAACGACCCGUCUGGAGGGGCAUAGGGGGAUCUGGAACUUCCGGUGGAGCGGUGAAAUGCGUUGAGAUCGGAAGGAACGCCCGUGGCGAAAGCGAGAUCCUGGAUGUCUUCUGACGCUGAGACGCGAAAGCUAGGGUAGCGAACGGGAUUAGAUACCCCGGUAGUCCUAGCCGUAAACGAUGAGCACUGGGUAGGGGGCUCUCCGAUGGGCUCCCUGCCGUAGGGAAACCGUGAAGUGCUCCGCCUGGGGA